CCGACGGGACGACCCGUCAGCACAUCCACGUUUUGGGGACGACCCCG
Molecule: non-coding RNA, 47 nt
Filed under: Kocuria marina
Lineage: Bacteria; Bacillati; Actinomycetota; Actinomycetes; Micrococcales; Micrococcaceae
Description: Guanidine-II sequence
Rfam family: Guanidine-II riboswitch aptamer (mini-ykkC)
About the family: Simpler in structure and has fewer highly conserved nucleotide positions than the ykkC-yxkD leader. Despite this each of its two stem-loop structures directly bind free guanidine.
Source: RNAcentral